UUAAUUGAAGAGUUUGAUCAUGGCUCAGAUUGAACGCUGGCGGCAGGCCUAACACAUGCAAGUCGAGCGGCAGCGACUUAACUGAACCUUCGGGGAACGUUAAGGGCGGCGAGCGGCGGACGGGUGAGUAAUGCCUGGGAAUAUGCCCUGAUGUGGGGGAUAACUAUUGGAAACGAUAGCUAAUACCGCAUAAUCUCUUCGGAGCAAAGAGGGGGACCUUCGGGC
Molecule: ribosomal RNA, 225 nt
Filed under: Photobacterium damselae
Lineage: Bacteria; Pseudomonadati; Pseudomonadota; Gammaproteobacteria; Vibrionales; Vibrionaceae
Also listed under: 1 other name
Description: partial 16S ribosomal RNA
Rfam family: Bacterial small subunit ribosomal RNA
Source: RNAcentral